Molecule: ribosomal RNA, 451 nt
Filed under: uncultured bacterium
Lineage: Bacteria
Description: partial 16S ribosomal RNA
Rfam family: Bacterial small subunit ribosomal RNA
Source: RNAcentral
AGCGAACGCUGGCGGCAGGCUUAACACAUGCAAGUCGAGCGGGCAUAGCAAUAUGUCAGCGGCAGACGGGUGAGUAACGCGUGGGAACGUACCUUUUAGUUCGGAACAACUGAGGGAAACUUCAGCUAAUACCGGAUAAGCCCUUACGGGGAAAGAUUUAUCGCCGAAAGAUCGGCCCGCGUCUGAUUAGCUAGUUGGUGAGGUAAUGGCACACCAAGGCGACGAUCAGUAGCUGGUCUGAGAGGAUGAUCAGCCACAUUGGGACUGAGACACGGCCCAAACUCCUACGGGAGGCAGCAGUGGGGAAUAUUGGACAAUGGGCGCAAGCCUGAUCCAGCCAUGCCGCGUGAGUGAUGAAGGCCCUAGGGUUGUAAAGCUCUUUUGUGCGGGAAGAUAAUGACGGUACCGCAAGAAUAAGCCCCGGCUAACUUCGUGCCAGCCGCCGCCGUAA